CCUGAGAAUAGCCAUUUCUCUAUGCUCUCGCGAUCAUAAGUUAUCCCAGUUGGCACAGUAACUGGGUCUCUCAUGAUUUGGAGAGAAAUAGGGCAGAGAAAAAACGGAGGGACAUCAAUCUCUUCCAUUAGAAUAAACAACGGCUGCUUCUGCUGCUGAUGAAAAGCUGAAGAACUUGAGAAACCCCAGAAAGAGGAGGUGUGAAAUAAGAAGAAAAAUAGAGAUGAAGUUAGGAGAAUUUCUGAUGCGUAGUAGCUGUG
RNAcentral lists this unclassified non-coding RNA (260 nucleotides) under Hevea brasiliensis (rubber tree). Lineage: Eukaryota; Viridiplantae; Streptophyta; Magnoliopsida; Malpighiales; Euphorbiaceae. The record is from RNAcentral.